CAAGCCAACCAAGGAAGGAAACAAGGGGAGGACCUUUCCCGAGGCCUCUGAUUGGUCAGCUUGCACAGAGCGGAGUCCGACGAGGGAAGAUGGCGGGCCGCAGGCUCGCGGGGACCCUCUGAUGGAGCAGUGGGUGCCUGUGACCCCUGAGACCCUCUCAGAGGCGCUGAUAUGUGCCGAAAUGCCCACUCCAAACCGGGCCCCGCACUGUCUGCAGCCACAGAAGAGGUAAGGAGAGCUGGCUGCAAGCUCAGAUCUCUUUGAAAGAGUUUAUGAGUGUGUUUACUUCAGGAAUGCCGAUCCCCUAAACUCAGCAAGACCAAUGAGAUGGAAGAAGCAGCUUGUGGAGACACUGCUUGGAUACAGCCACUGACCUACUCAGCUGG
This 386-nucleotide long non-coding RNA is filed under the name Heterocephalus glaber (naked mole-rat). Its description in RNAcentral is "lncRNA (ENSHGLG00000034813.1)". The record is from RNAcentral. Lineage: Eukaryota; Metazoa; Chordata; Mammalia; Rodentia; Bathyergidae.